Molecule: ribosomal RNA, 283 nt
Filed under: uncultured bacterium
Lineage: Bacteria
Description: partial 16S ribosomal RNA
Rfam family: Bacterial small subunit ribosomal RNA
Source: RNAcentral
GUGUAUUAGAUACCCGGGUAGUCCACGCCCUAAACGAUGAAUACUCGCUGUUAGCGAUAUACAGUUAGCGGCUAAGCGAAAGCGUUAAGUAUUCCACCUGGGGAGUACGCCCGCAAGGGUGAAACUCAAAGGAAUUGACGGGGGCCCGCACAAGCGGAGGAGCAUGUGGUUUAAUUCGAUGAUACGCGAGGAACCUUACCCGGGCUUGAAAGUUAGUGAAUUAUCCAGAGAUGGAUAAGUGAGCAAUCACACGAAACUAGGUGCUGCACGGCUGUCAACAGCU